RNAcentral lists this ribosomal RNA (253 nucleotides) under uncultured bacterium. RNAcentral's name for it is "partial 16S ribosomal RNA". It matches the Rfam family "Bacterial small subunit ribosomal RNA", at positions 524 to 776 of the family's 1533-position model. The record is from RNAcentral.
UACGGAGGGUCCAAGCGUUAUCCAGAAUCAUUGGGUUUAAAGGGUGCGUAGGCGGCCUUGUAAGUCAGGGGUGAAAGACGGUAGCUCAACUAUCGCAGUGCCUUUGAUACUGCAGGGCUUGAAUGUACUUGAGGUAGGCGGAAUGUGACAAGUAGCGGUGAAAUGCAUAGAUAUGUCACAGAACACCAAUUGCGGAGGCAGCUUACUAAAGUAUGAUUGACGCUGAGGCACGAAAGCGUGGGGAUCAAACAGG